GUAGCUAAUACCGAAUAAGGUCAAUUGAGGUGUUAAUUGAUGAAAGGAAGCCUUUAAAGCUUCGCUUGUAGAUGAGUCUGCGUCUUAUUAGCUAGUUGGUGGGAUAAGAGCCUACCAAGGCUAUGAUAAGUAACCGGCCUGAGAGGGUGAUCGGUCACACUGGAACUGAGAUACGGUCCAGACUCCUACGGGAGGCAGCAGCUAAGAAUCUUCCGCAAUGGGCGAAAGCCUGACGGAGCGACACUGCGUGAACGAAGAAGGUCGAAAGAUUGUAAAGUUCUUUUAUAAGUGAGGAAUAAGCUUUGUAGGAAAUGACAAAGUGAUGACGUUAAUUUAUGAAUAAGCCCCGGCUAAUUACGUGCCAGCAGCCGCGGUAAUACGUAAGGGGCGAGCGUUGUUCGGGAUCAUUGGGCGUAAAGGGUGAGUAGGCGGAUAUGCAAGUCUAUGUGUAAAAUACCACAGCUCAACUGUGGAACUAUGCUGGAAACUGCAUGACUAGAGUCUGAUAGGGGAAGUUAGAAUUCCUGGUGUAAGGGUGGAAUCUGUUGAUAUCAGGAAGAAUACCAGAGGCGAAGGCGAACUUCUAGGUCAAGACUGACGCUGAGUCACGAAAGCGUAGGGAGCAAACAGGAUUAGAUACCCUGGUAGUCUACGCUGUAAACGAUGCACACUUGGUGUUAAUCGAAAGGUUAGUACCGAAGCUAACGUGUUAAGUGUGCCGCCUGGGGAGUAUGUUCGCAAGAAUGAAACUCAAAGGAAUUGACGGGGGCCCGCACAAGCGGUGGAGCAUGUGGUUUAAUUCGAUGAUACGCGAGGAACCUUACCAGGGCUUGACAUAUACAGGAUAUAGUUAGAGAUGACUAUUCCCCGUUUGGGGUCUGUAUACAGGUGCUGCAUGGUUGUCGUCAGCUCGUGCCGUGAGGUGUUGGGUUAAGUCCCGCAACGAGCGCAACCCUUAUUGUCUGUUACCAGCAUGUAAAGAUGGGGACUCAGACGAGACUGCCGGUGAUAAGCCGGAGGAAGGUGAGGAUGACGUCAAAUCAUCAUGGCCCUUAUGUCCUGGGCUACACACGUGCUACAAUGGCCUGUACAAAGCGAUGCGAAACAGUGAUGUGAAGCAAAACGCAGAAAGCAGGUCUCAGUCCAGAUUGAAGUCUGAAACUCGGCUUCAUGAA
Molecule: ribosomal RNA, 1175 nt
Filed under: Borrelia miyamotoi
Lineage: Bacteria; Pseudomonadati; Spirochaetota; Spirochaetia; Spirochaetales; Borreliaceae
Description: bacterial SSU rRNA
Rfam family: Bacterial small subunit ribosomal RNA
Source: RNAcentral